This is a non-coding RNA of Heterocephalus glaber (naked mole-rat), 3083 nucleotides long. Lineage: Eukaryota; Metazoa; Chordata; Mammalia; Rodentia; Bathyergidae. The record is from RefSeq and is a predicted model, not a curated record.
UCAUGAUCUUGGGAAUGAGAGAGGAACUUCCCAUCAGCAUUUCAUUGGGGGAAAUGAAUAACAAGGUGAGUGAACAAGAAGACACGGAGCAGCUCCGGAGACCAAAGCCAGCAUCUUCCUAAUGUGGACCCAGCCUGGGUCUUGGCCCACGUGAUCCUGAUGUCCUGAUGUCACCUGCAUUGUUCAGUGACACUCACAGCUGGAAGCAGACACCUUGGCCCCAAAGCAGACAACCUUGCCACUCUGGCCAGAGCUCUGGCACUGCCUGUGACCUGUGACCCCUGACCCAUGGCCUGUGACCCCUGAGCCCCGAGUCACACUGCCCCAGCACUGUCCUGCCUAUGGCAUCACCGUCCAGACAUCCAGUCCACGCUCUGCUUCGCCUCCAUCCCAGGCGAGAAGUUCAGGCCACAGCUCCCUAAAGAGCACCUGUGCCACUGUCACUCGCAUUGGGCUUCCACUCCCAGCCACGGCCCAGCCUCCCUGGGUCGGGGUUUAGUUCACGCUGUCACUCAGCGUCCCUGGCUGUAGGCCGCUGUCUCCAGGGCAAGGGCAGAACUGAGCACAGCGGCCCCCACGGCCCAGGAGCGCCUCCCGCACUCCAGGGACCCUCCACACAGCUGUCGGCCGCCCCAGGUGUGCCCCUGGCACGGCCGUCGCCCCGGCGCCCACUCUGGAGGGGCCUCAUCUGGCCACAUCUUCGCUCUCAUUCCCAGAAAGCUGGCUGGCCAUUCCCACACAUCCUCCGGUUACCACGCUGCGCGUCAGCUCGGGGUCCUCGUUACAAGAACCAGGCAGGGACGAGAAAACAAUCGAGAUGGUGACUAACUCAAAAUCAUGCUGAGAGUGACAGAGCUGGCGCUCAGUCCUAUCUUCCAGCCAGAGGAAGCUGGGAUCAGAGCCUGGACCUUGUACAAGUUCAUUUCCACUAAGACAAAAAUUGAGCUUCCUCCUUGAGUGUCUGCAAGGCGGAGUGUGAGGCUGAAAAUCAUCGUGAACUCGGGCAGGUUCCCUGGGUAUCGCAGACAGAAGUGGCCCAUCCCUUCCCGGGUACAUCUAGACCCUCCGACAUGGUGCGGCCUGGGGCCUGGAAGGCCCUUGCCUCCUGCAAGUCAUGGCACAGCCAUGGCCAGGCGGUAGGAGACGUUGAUGUUGACCUCACCGUAGAAAACGUGGCCCUGGGAAAGGCUGACGUUCACGAAACUACUUAUCCCAAGAAGCUAGCUGUUCUUCAUGUGGUUGCAGCCGAGUGGCUAAGAUGAGACUCAGCCUCUAGCAGGCCCUGUUUGGAGAGCUCUGUAGAGAAGGCAGGUGGCCCUGUGUGGUUCACCUCUGUCGUGUCGUCCUCAGCAAGUGACAGCUGAGACCGUGUGAAUCUAAAAGCAAAUCACUACACAAUUAACAAAAUUCAGUAAAGCAAAUCUUGCCUGUUAUCCUGUAAGGAGCUGACUUCAUCACACCGAGCUGGCUUGUUGUGGAGUCCAGGCACCGAUAUCGGCGGCCUUGUGUAGCUGCUGACCCCAGGGCAGUGCCUGGUCCACCCCUUGGGGCCGCGGAACCUGUCCUCCUCCCUGGGUGGUCAGAACUGGGUCACCCUUCACCCCAGAAGCUGCCACUCGGCUUCCUGGGCAUCGCUCAGGCCCUGCAGGUUUGCUGUCCCCAGUCCGCUUCUUCCGUGUGUCUGCUUGAGCCACGGGGCAUAAUGAAAACCAGGGCGCUGACUGACCGGCCCACCACACACCUCGACUUCCACCAGCAUUUCUGUCAAUGCCUGCAUGCCGGCACCAGCCAGUCUCAGGGGAGGUGCCCAGUUCAAACAUCACUCUCUGCUUCUGUAUCUUAAGAAUCUUUGAUGUCACUGUUGCUGCCGCUGUUAGUCUUACAGAAACACAGAAUGUCCUGCUCUGCAGUACCCCAUUCAUGAGAGAUCGGAAGUGGGAGCCGCACCCAUCCCCAGCAUUGGAGUGACACCCAGUGAGCCCACAGGUUCCAGGGUCCUCAUCGGCACUGGGAUCCAAGGUCACCGGCUGGACCAGAAAGGUGCAUUGCACAGCCUGGGGCUGCUUGGGGAGAUCCCAGAGUUCCGGCGAGCGCAGGAGUCCGGAUCGCAGCGCAUUCCGGUGUUAAACAGCAGCUUCCCUCUGUGGGUCCACACCGCACCUCGCUCUCAGGUCCCUAACUCGAGUGGAGAAAGCAGCUGCUCACAGAGCUCCCGUGGGCACCCAGGCUUCCUGAUUUCUGAGGCUGACGCUAAUUACCCAGCCUGUUGCAUUUCAGGGUUUGCAUUUGCUCAGCAACUGUGUGCAGUUACAGCUCCGGCACGGAGAAACAGGACAGCCGGGCGAUGUGACACGCAGGCCACGGCGAGGGAGGCCUCCGCCCGGCCUGCCCAGCACCCAAGCUUGCGAGCUCCCAGACACACCUUCCACAAGCGCUAGAUUUGUGUCGGGGCAUCUCGCCAGGCGUGUGUGAACAAGCUUUACUUUACACGCCAUGGACAGGUUAAGAACCUCACUUUCUUUCUCCUUCUUUGCUUUCUUCCUUUCCCUUACCUCUUUCUUACUAGCGUAUCAACCGUGGAAUAGGAAGAAUACUUGCUAGCUCCAUUUUGCUGUCUUGGGAAAUACAUAGAGACUAUGAAAAAUAUACUUGGGCAUGAAACAAACUCUUCCCUCUAUGCAGGUUUGACACCCGGGAGCCCAAGCUGUCUCCCAGGGAAAGCCAGGCUCGGCACCAGCAAAGGAGGCCUUACUAGAGCUCACCCGGCUCGCGUCUGCGUCCUAAAUCUCUUGUUGUUCAGGCUGAAUCAGGAAUGUGUCUGUCCUAGCAAGGUGCUUUUGAGGCUUUGCCUGGUCUUCUCCUCGGAGAAAUGCCACACCUAUGUUUCUCUCUUUCUUUCAUAUUUCACUACCUUCUGAGAAUAAAUAGGAAACACCUAAAAUCUAGUUCCUCUUGUACAUGGAAAGACCGCUUUUUCCCAUCAACAUCUCGAGUUCCAUCCACCUCGAAAUUACAGAUCUCGCUUGUUCGUGCUGUUGUGCCCAGUCACAAGAAGCGUCUUCAAACUUUGUGUUUUCUCCACG